GAUGAACGCUGGCGGCGUGCCUAAUACAUGCAAGUCGAGCGAACAGACGAGGAGCUUGCUCCUCUGACGUUAGCGGCGGACGGGUGAGUAACACGUGGAUAACCUACCUAUAAGACUGGGAUAACUUCGGGAAACCGGAGCUAAUACCGGAUAACAUGUUGAACCGCAUGGUUCAACAGUGAAAGACGGUCUUGCUGUCACUUAUAGAUGGAUCCGCGCCGCAUUAGCUAGUUGGUAAGGUAACGGCUUACCAAGGCAACGAUGCGUAGCCGACCUGAGAGGGUGAUCGGCCACACUGGAACUGAGACACGGUCCAGACUCCUACGGGAGGCAGCAGUAGGGAAUCUUCGGCAAUGGGCGAAAGCCUGACGGAGCCACGCCGCGUGAGUGAAGAAGGUCUUCGGAUUGUAAAACUCUUUUAUUAGGGAAGAACAAAUGUGUAAGUAACUAUGCACGUCCUGACGGUACCUAAUCAGAAAGCCACGGCUAACUACGUG
This 497-nucleotide ribosomal RNA is filed under the name uncultured bacterium. RNAcentral describes it as "partial 16S ribosomal RNA". It matches the Rfam family "Bacterial small subunit ribosomal RNA", at positions 28 to 507 of the family's 1533-position model. The record is from RNAcentral.